This 647-nucleotide ribosomal RNA is filed under the name uncultured archaeon. RNAcentral describes it as "bacterial SSU rRNA". It matches the Rfam family "Archaeal small subunit ribosomal RNA", at positions 155 to 800 of the family's 1478-position model. The record is from RNAcentral.
CAUAGGCCUGAGGUACUGGAAGGUCCUCAGGCCGAAAGGGGCUCUGCCCGCCCGAGGAUGGGCCGGCGGCCGAUUAGGUAGUUGGUGGGGUAACGGCCCACCAAGUCGAAGAUCGGUACGGGCCAUGAGAGUGGGAGCCCGGAGAUGGACACUGAGACACGGGUCCAGGCCCUACGGGGCGCAGCAGGCGCGAAACCUCCGCAAUGCGGGCAACCGCGACGGGGGGACCCCCAGUGCCGUGGCAACGCCACGGCUUUUCCGGAGUGUAAAAAGCUCCGGGAAUAAGGGCUGGGCAAGGCCGGUGGCAGCCGCCGCGGUAAUACCGGCGGCCCGAGUGGUGGCCGCUAUUAUUGGGCCUAAAGCGUCCGUAGCCGGGCCCGUAAGUCCCUGGCGAAAUCCCACGGCUCAACCGUGGGGCUUGCUGGGGAUACUGCGGGCCUUGGGACCGGGAGAGGCCGGGGGUACCCCUGGGGUAGGGGUGAAAUCCUAUAAUCCCAGGGGGACCGCCAGUGGCGAAGGCGCCCGGCUGGAACGGGUCCGACGGUGAGGGACGAAGGCCAGGGGAGCGAACCGGAUUAGAUACCCGGGUAGUCCUGGCUGUAAAGGAUGCGGGCUAGGUGUCGGGCGAGCUUCGAGCUCGCCCGGUG